AUGGCGCAGGCCGCUUUUGCACACUUCUCUUAUGUGCUUGGCGUGCCCGAGGAGCGCAGCGCCACCCUCAACCUGGCGGCCAUUGGUCAUCGCUCCUUCGACCUCUCCGCCAUGGAACAACUCUUCUCCUCCGACGAAAUCUGGGAGGCAGUUAAGCGCCUUCCCUCCGGCAAGGCGCCUGGUCCGGACGGAUUCACGGCUGAGUUCUUGCGUGCUUGCUGGCCGAUCAUUCAGGACGAGUUUUGUGCGGUCUUCGACAAGCUAUGCGCCCUUAAUGGCCAGCCAUUCCAGCGGCUCAAUGAAGCUCUGAUACGUCUCCAACGUAUCUAUAAUUUUUGA
RNAcentral lists this ribosomal RNA (339 nucleotides) under Triticum aestivum (bread wheat). RNAcentral describes it as "partial small subunit ribosomal RNA". The record is from RNAcentral. Lineage: Eukaryota; Viridiplantae; Streptophyta; Magnoliopsida; Poales; Poaceae.